AUGGAACCACAAGUUGCAGCAAUGGCAAGACGUAAAAGGAAGCAGAUUCUUAAAGAUAAAAGAUUGAAAAAAAAGGAAGAACUGAUGAAAACACAAUCAAUCCCAUUGAAAACUCUCAAAGCAUCUGCAUCAAGCAACUCAAGUACAAUGAAGAGUUUCAAUAUUGUUUCUACAAAUCAACUGGCUGCUUCAGCACGACAGCGGAAGAAAAGUAUUAUGGAAGAUAUGUAG
Non-coding RNA from Vicia faba (fava bean), 231 nucleotides. NCBI's taxonomy places the organism in Eukaryota, Viridiplantae, Streptophyta, Magnoliopsida, Fabales, Fabaceae. The record is from the annotation of a GenBank genome assembly.